RNAcentral lists this ribosomal RNA (253 nucleotides) under uncultured bacterium. RNAcentral describes it as "partial 16S ribosomal RNA". It matches the Rfam family "Bacterial small subunit ribosomal RNA", at positions 524 to 776 of the family's 1533-position model. The record is from RNAcentral.
UACGUAGGAGACGAGCGUUGUCCGGAGUUACUGGGCGUAAAGCGCACGCAGGCGGUCUGCUAAGUUUGGAGUGACAGUUGGUGGCUUAACUGCCAAAGUGCUUCGAAAACUGACAGACUUGAGGGCUUCAGAGGGACACGGAAUUCCGGGUGGAGUGGUGAAAUGCGUAGAGAUCCGGAGGAACACCAAAGGCGAAGGCAGUGUCCUGGGGAGUACCUGACGCUCAGGUGCGAAAGCCAGGGGAGCGAACGGG